GCUCCGGACCCGUGCAGCGGGAUGUCGCGAACUCCGCCAGGUCCGGGAGGAAGCAACGGUAGUGGCCUCUGCCGCGUGCCGCGGUUGUCUCCGG
Molecule: signal recognition particle RNA, 94 nt
Filed under: Bryobacterales bacterium
Lineage: Bacteria; Pseudomonadati; Acidobacteriota; Terriglobia; Bryobacterales
Description: signal recognition particle sRNA small type
Rfam family: Bacterial small signal recognition particle RNA
About the family: The signal recognition particle (SRP) is a universally conserved ribonucleoprotein involved in the co-translational targeting of proteins to membranes.
Source: RNAcentral